UACGGCCAUAUCAUGUUGAAAAAUCGGUUCCGGUACGAUCGCCGAAGUUAAGCAACAUCGAGCCUACUCACUAUUAGGAUGGGUGACCAUUUGGGAAUAUCAGGUGCUGUAAG
Non-coding RNA from Acanthosepion pharaonis, 113 nucleotides. Lineage: Eukaryota; Metazoa; Mollusca; Cephalopoda; Sepiida; Sepiidae. The record is from the annotation of a GenBank genome assembly.